This 497-nucleotide ribosomal RNA is filed under the name uncultured bacterium. RNAcentral describes it as "partial 16S ribosomal RNA". It matches the Rfam family "Bacterial small subunit ribosomal RNA", at positions 28 to 507 of the family's 1533-position model. The record is from RNAcentral.
GAUGAACGCUGGCGGCGUGCCUAAUACAUGCAAGUCGAGCGAACAGAUGAGGAGCUUGCUCCUCUGACGUUAGCGGCGGACGGGUGAGUAACACGUGGAUAACCUACCUAUAAGACUGGGAUAACUUCGGGAAACCGGAGCUAAUACCGGAUAAUAUAUUGAACCGCAUGGUUCAAUAGUGAAAGACGGUUUUGCUGUCACUUAUAGAUGGAUCCGCGCCGCAUUAGCUAGUUGGUAAGGUAACGGCUUACCAAGGCAACGAUGCGUAGCCGACCUGAGAGGGUGAUCGGCCACACUGGAACUGAGACACGGUCCAGACUCCUACGGGAGGCAGCCGUAGGGAAUCUUCCGCAAUGGGCGAAAGCCUGACGGAGCAACGCCGCGUGAGUGAUGAAGGUCUUCGGAUCGUAAAACUCUGUUAUUAGGGAAGAACAAAUGUGUAAGUAACUAUGCACGUCUUGACGGUACCUAAUCAGAAAGCCACGGCUAACUACGUG